This 425-nucleotide ribosomal RNA is filed under the name uncultured bacterium. Its description in RNAcentral is "bacterial SSU rRNA". It matches the Rfam family "Bacterial small subunit ribosomal RNA", at positions 356 to 773 of the family's 1533-position model. The record is from RNAcentral.
GGGGAAUCUUCCGCAAUGGACGAAAGUCUGACGGAGCGACGCCGCGUGUACGAAGAAGGCCUUCGGGUUGUAAAGUACUGUCGUUGGGGAAGAACGGCUCAAGUGUGAAUAAUGCUUGAGAUUGACGGUACCCAACGAGGAAGCCCCGGCUAACUACGUGCCAGCAGCCGCGGUAACACGUAGGGGGCGAGCGUUGUCCGGAAUUAUUGGGCGUAAAGGGCGCGUAGGCGGCCGUUUAAGUCUGAUGUGAAAGUGCGGGGCUUAACCCCGUAAAGCAUUGGAAACUGGAUGGCUUGAGGACAGGAGAGGAAAGUGGAAUUCCUAGUGUAGCGGUGAAAUGCGUAGAUAUUAGGAGGAACACCAGUGGCGAAGGCGACUUUCUGGACUGUUUCUGACGCUGAGGCGCGAAAGCGUGGGUAGCGAAC